Molecule: ribosomal RNA, 614 nt
Filed under: uncultured fungus
Lineage: Eukaryota; Fungi
Description: eukaryotic LSU rRNA
Rfam family: Eukaryotic large subunit ribosomal RNA
Source: RNAcentral
GCAUAUCAAUAAGCGGAGGAAAAGAAACCAACCGGGAUUGCCCUAGUAACGGCGAGUGAAGCGGCAACAGCUCAAAUUUGAAAUCUGGCUCUUUUAGAGUCCGAGUUGUAAUUUGCAGAGGGCGCUUUGGCUUUGGCAGCGGUCCAAGUUCCUUGGAACAGGACGUCACAGAGGGUGAGAAUCCCGUACGUGGUCGCUGGCUAUUGCCGUGUAAAGCCCCUUCGACGAGUCGAGUUGUUUGGGAAUGCAGCUCUAAAUGGGAGGUACAUUUCUUCUAAAGCUAAAUAUUGGCCAGAGACCGAUAGCGCACAAGUAGAGUGAUCGAAAGAUGAAAAGCACUUUGGAAAGGGAGUCAAACAGCACGUGAAAUUGUUGAAAGGGAAGCGCUUGCAGCCAGACUUGCUUGCAGUUGCUCAUCCGGGCUUUUGCCCGGUGCACUCUUUUGCAGGCAGGCCAGCAUCAGUUUGGGCGGUAGGAUAAAGGUCUCUGUCACGUACCUCUCUUCGGGGAGGCCUUAUAGGGGAGACGACAUACUACCAGCCUGGACUGAGGUCCGCGCAUCUGCUAGGAUGCUGCCGUAAUGGCUGUAAGCGGCCCGUCUUGAAACACGGACC